CCGAUGUUGUGCUGGGAGAUGUCUAGUGUC
RNAcentral lists this non-coding RNA (30 nucleotides) under Mus musculus (house mouse). The record is from RNAcentral. Lineage: Eukaryota; Metazoa; Chordata; Mammalia; Rodentia; Muridae.